Molecule: non-coding RNA, 27 nt
Filed under: Rattus norvegicus (Norway rat)
Lineage: Eukaryota; Metazoa; Chordata; Mammalia; Rodentia; Muridae
Source: RNAcentral
UAGGGACAUUCUAGUGAUUGUGUGAUA